GUAAGGAAUCUGGGACAAACCGCUAGUAAUCAGUGUGUGUGUUUGUGUGACAUGGGACUUUAGCCAUCUCCAGCGGCAAAAUCACUGUGGCCCCUGUGACAUUGAUCAACUCUUGUUGUAAUUAGACAUUGAGGCAUUUUGACUGUAAGGUAAACAUUUGUGUAAAUGUUGUUAAUCAUUAUCAUGGCAGACUGUGGGAAUUCAGUUGUAGUCUUGACCUUGGGCAUUGCUAAUCUGUAUCUACCAGUCCCAAUGUGACAGACGUAUGUAUAAAGACUAUUAUGAUGCCAAUCCUAGUGAAUUUAGAGAGGGUUUCCUUUAAACUGUGUAGCUAUUUAACAGUAGUCUAAUACAUAUGGAUAGACAAAAAUAAGCUAUUUCACAACUCUAUUUCAUUACCUCAGAGCUGGUGUUUUAUGGUUAAAAAAAUACAAAUAAAAAAGUGGGCCAGGGCUGAGUAAACAUAAUAAAUCAUUGACCAAGUUGAACUAAAAAGGUGGGGUCAAAGAGGAUAGCUUUGACCUUGCGUGGGUGGUCACAUGAUCAAAAUAGAAUGUGGGAGUGGUCAGUUUUUUUUGUUUUGAGCCCUUAUUGAUUUCAUUUUAUAAUCAAAUUUACCUAUCACAUAUGAGAGAAUCUGCUUCUAUGUUAUUGUACAUUGUCACUCAAUGGUCUCUCUAGGUCACUUCCAGGCAGGCAGGCAGGCAGUCCUCAGCUCCCAGAUCGAAAGGCCUAGUUAAUGAUUAACAAUACCAGUCAGAUUUAUUGUGUACAGUGAUGCUGUCAGGAAGCAUUUCCUUCUCUAGCCUGUCCGGGAAACACACACUCUACAGACACACUCUCAGGCUCUCUGCCUGUCUACAGCUACCAUACCGACACUUCUAGCUCUAGAUCAGACAGCUGCCAGAUGAAUCAGACCAUGCAACCCUCCCACAGCUCUCAUCCCAGGACACCUCUCAGUUCUGUCCAUCUGCGGGCCACAGAGACUGGCUCUGCCCUGUGUGUCUGCAAACUGCCAGCUUCCCUGUACAGACCAACUGGGGCCAUCUAUACUGUGCUCCCUGUCUGAUCUGUACUGGAGACUUGGGUCCUGGCUGGAUGCCAUCAGCUGCCCUCUGUGUAGACAAAGGGGAAGAAAGACACACCCAACUGUAGAAACAUCCAUUAUUACCAUGAUAUUACACUUGUUAUCCGACAAGAAAAAUAGCAAAAUUAUGUUGAAUAAAAGUGAUAAUGGUUCAGAAUUGAUUGAAUGUAACUUGAAUGGAUUUUCUCUCUCUCUCUCUCGUCUAUUUUGGUGAGGGUCGGUCAGACAGAAAGGAGAGGGAGGUUCUGGGAGAAUUUACAGACUACAACAAACGUUUUUAUUUUUUAUUUUUUAUUUUUAUUUCACCUUUAUUUAACCAGGUAGGCUAGUUGAGAACAAGUUCUCAUUUGCAACUGCGACCUGGCCAAGAUAAAGCAUAGCAGUGUGAGCAUACAACAAAGAGUUACACAUGGAGUAAACAAUUAACAAGUCAAUAACACAGUAGAAAACGAAGGGGGGGUCUAUAUACAAUGUGUGCAAAAGGCAUGAGGAGGUAGGCAAAUAAUUACAAUUUUGCAGAUUAACACUGGAGUGAUAAAAGAUCAGAUGGUCAUGUACAGGUAGAGAUAUUGGUGUGCAGAAGAGCAGAAAAGUAAAUAAAUAGAAACAGUACGGGGAUGAGGUAGGUGAAAAGGGUGGGCUAUUUACCAAUAGACUAUGUACAGCUGCAGCGAUCGGUUAGCUGCUCAGAUAGCUGAUGUUUGAAGUUGGUGAGGGAGAUAAAAGUCUCCAACUUCAGCGAUUUUUGCAAUUCGUUCCAGUCACAGGCAGCAGAGUACUGGAACGAAAGGCGGCCAAAUGAGGUGUUGGCUUUAGGGAUGAUCAGUGAGAUACACCUGCUGGAGCGCGUGCUACGGAUGGGUGUUGCCAUCGUGACCAGUGAGCUGAGAUAAGGCGGAGCUUUACCUAGCAUAGACUUGUAGAUGACCUGGAGCCAGUGGGUCUGGCGACGAAUAUGUAGCGAGGGCCAGCCGACUAGAGCAUACAAGUCGCAGUGGUGGGUGGUAUAAGGUGCUUUAGUGACAAAACGGAUGGCACUGUGAUAGACUGCAUCCAGUUUGCUGAGUAGAGUGUUGGAAGCCAUUUUGUAGAUGACAUCGCCGAAGUCGAGGAUCGGUAGGAUAGUCAGUUUUACUAGGGUAAGCUUGGCGGCUUGAGUGAAGGAGGCUUUGUUGCGGAAUAGAAAGCCGACUCUUGAUUUGAUUUUCGAUUGGAGAUGUUUGAUAUGAGUCUGGAAGGAGAGUUUGCAGUCUAGCCAGACACCUAGGUACUUAUAGACGUCCACAUAUUCUAGGUCGGAACCAUCCAGGGUGGUGAUGCUAGUCGGGCAUGCAGGUGCAGGCAAAUCCAAAUCCAAGAUGGCGUAGCAGUAAGUCGUCCUGUCGUGUCGUGUCCCUGUAUAUUUUGUUUAUAUUUUGUUUAUUUUUCGUUUUUUACAUAUUUUUCGUCUUUUACAUAGCUAUCCCUUUUUAAAAACAUUUUGCUAAACCUAAGCUUCCAAAUACGCUGGAUCUUCACAACUAGCUAUCUAGCUAAACCGCAACCCUGGACGACUACCCCUGGCUAGCGUUUCCACCCACUUAGCUUGAAGCUAGCCCGGCCUGCGCUACCACCGUAGCAUACUCCUGAGCUACAAUACCCGGGCCCACGACCGGUCUAUCGAUGUCACCGCAUGAAGAGGAAUAAACAGACUCACCCCAUCGCGACGUCCCCCAAAGGCUAACUCUCUAGCCCUCGCUAUCUCCCUGCUUGCUAAUUCGGCCUGCUAACUGCUAGCUUGUCCAGCUCCGGUCCGCUAACUGCUACCUUGUCUAGCCCGGGCCUACAAACUGUUAGCACAGGCCUGCUAACCGCCUGAAUCGCCGCGUCCCAAACGCCCACCGGACCCAUAUUUACUUUCUAUCUCUUUUGACUUUUAAUUUGUUUAUACCUUCCGGAAACCUGCCUCACCCAAUGUGAUACGGAAUCGCUAUUAUUUUUUAUUUAUUUUUAGAACACACUCAAGAACCUCCAGAAGCUAACCAGCUAACUAGCUACAAGCUAUUUAGUCAUUGUUCGUUUUUUUAACCUGGAUAACACUCGCCAGUCCAGCUUCCCUUCCCCAUCCACCGCUGCCCCCUGGACACUGAUCUCUUGGCUACAUAGCUGAUGCACGCUGGACUGUCCAUAAAUCACGGUACUCCAUUCUGCUUGUUUGUUUUAUCUGUUGGCCCCGUUGCCUAGUCUACGCCAUUUUACCUGCUGUUGUUGUGCUAGCUGAUUAGCUGUUGUCUCACCUACUGUUUUAGCUAGCUUUCCCAAU
Molecule: long non-coding RNA, 3389 nt
Organism: Oncorhynchus kisutch (coho salmon)
Lineage: Eukaryota; Metazoa; Chordata; Actinopteri; Salmoniformes; Salmonidae
Source: Ensembl